Molecule: ribosomal RNA, 120 nt
Filed under: Helianthus annuus (common sunflower)
Lineage: Eukaryota; Viridiplantae; Streptophyta; Magnoliopsida; Asterales; Asteraceae
Also listed under: 1 other name
Source: RNAcentral
GGUUGCGAUCAUACCAGCACUAAUGCACCGGAUCCCAUCAGAACUCCGCAGUUAAGCGUGCUUAGGCGAGAGUAGUACUAGGAUGGGUGACCCCCUGGGAAGUCCUCGUGUUGCAACCCC